Molecule: long non-coding RNA, 1824 nt
Filed under: Homo sapiens (human)
Lineage: Eukaryota; Metazoa; Chordata; Mammalia; Primates; Hominidae
Description: HSALNT0010871
Source: RNAcentral
GUAGGUCUAUACAAGUACAUGGCCUGGUUAGGAACCUUCACUUUCACAAGUGGAUGCCAAGUUCUUAGGUGUACAUCCGCAUCUAAUCAGAAGUAUAGAGUUUCAGCUGUUGGGUACCUGCCAGACAAUUUAUCCUUGACUUCUCUGCUCCUUAAUUCUUAUGGAAGUUUGAUUGGAGAAAACAACAUUUAGGGAGAGAUGCAGGCCAUCCAACUUUCUUUCUUUCUUUCUUUCUUUCUUUCUUUCUUUCUUUCUUUCUUUCUUUUUCUUUCUUUCUUUCUUUUCUUUCUUUUUUUCUUUCUUCCUUCCUUCCCUUUCCUUUCCUUUUUCUUUUAUUUCUUUUAUUUUUUUUCAAGAUGGAGGCUCACUCUGUCUCCCAGGCUCGAGUGCAGUGGUGGUGAUCACAGCUCACUGCAGCCUUGACCUCUUGGGUUCAAGCAAUCCUCCUGCCUCAGUCUCCUGGGUAGUUGGGACCACAGGCAUGAGCCACCAUGCCCAGCUAAUUUUUACACUUUUUAAAGAGAAAGGGUCUCCCUAUGUUGCCCAGGCUGGUUUUAAAUUCCCGAGUUCAAGCAAGCCUCCCACCUCGGCCUCCUGAAGUGCUGGCAUUACAAAUGGAAGCCACAACACUUGGCCUUCUUUUAGAUAUUUUAGAUAUUUUAAACUUUAUCUGUGCAUCAAGUCAGAUACUUAAAAAACUUCAUUUGUGAACUGCAUCAUGUCAUUCCCUCAGAGAACUGAAUUUUAAAGGACCUCACUUUGUCAUUAGGCCCUAGGUUAAAGGCUCCUGGAGUGAUACCAUAAGAAACAGCUAUUGGAAACUCAUCUGCUUUAAGUGUCAUUCAUGACAUCAGUGUCCCUUUUGAGGACAUAUGGGAGAAACGUCUUUCAGGUCUUAAGGCUCCUGAGACCGUGGUAUGUAUGUUAUAAAACACUGUGAAUCCUAUAACUUGUCUGUUUUCUUCAUUGCUCAGAGCCAAAUGUGUGAUCCCCCUCCAGAAAAGACUUGAGUCUUUACAGUUGGAAUUUCCGUGUCGUGAGUGACAGGAUCUUGGUCCAUCACCCAGGCUGGAAUACAGUGGUGCAAUUAUAGUUCACUGCGGCCUCAAAUUCCUGCACUCAACAGAUCCUCCCACCUCAGCCUCGCAACUGGCUGGGACUACAGGGAUGCACCACCACACCUGGCUAAUUUUUAACUCUUUCGUAGGAAUGAGGUCUUGCUGUGUUGCCCAGGCUGGUCUCGAACUCUGGGGGUCAAGAGAUCCUCCCAUCUCGGCCUUCCAAAGUGUUGGGAUUACAGGCACGCACCACCACACCUGGCUACAUGCCUAAUUUAACAUGAGCUAGAGUUAGGUUUGGCCAUCCCUAGUGUUCAGUGGAGUUGUAGAGUUAGUCUCAAAUGCCAGAGUGAAAGUCCUUGCCUAUCACUCCCUCAUGGGGUAACCAUGGUGGAGCUGCCCAAUUUCCUCAUCUCAGAAGUGAAUAUAAUAGCUUCUACCUCAUAGGGUUGUUGUGAGAAUUGCAUGAGGAAACCAUGGAAAGGAAUUCAUAGAGUACUUAGAAAGGCAGUAAGUACAGGGACAGAUUUGGGUUUCAUGGGACUUGAAGACUACACAACUUCGGAAGCCCUCUUUAAUGAAAAGAAGAUAAAUCUUACUUUUGCAAGUUUUAUAUGAAUAUGUGACUAUGUGAACACAUUGCUCAGGUCCUCCCCUCGCCCGCACACAAGGUCUAGAAAAAGGCUUAUUAAAGUGAGACAUCCUGAAGCUUAAGCGUCACCAGCUUCAAGUUCAACCCACCUCUGAAUAAAUGCUUCAAAUAAAU